GACGAACGCUGGCGGCGUGCUUAACACAUGCAAGUCGAACGGACAGGCCCUGCUUUUGUUGGGUGCUCGAUUGGCGAACGGGUGAGUAACACGUGAGUAACCUGCCCUUGACUUUGGGAUAACUUCAGGAAACUGGGGCUAAUACCGGAUAGGAGCUCCUGCUGCAUGGUGGGGGUUGGAAAGUUUCGGCGGUUGGGGAUGGACUCGCGGCUUAUCAGCUUGUUGGUGGGGUAGUGGUUUACCAAGGCUUUGACGGAUAGCCGGCCUGAGAGGGUGACCGGCGACAAUGGGACUGAGAUACGGACCAGACGGCUACGGGAGGCAGCAGGGGGGAGUAUUGCAGAAUGGGCGGAAGUGUGAUGCAGAAACGCCGCGUGCGGGAAGACGGCCUACGGGUGGAAAACCGACGUCGACUGUGACGAAGAGUGAGUGACGGUAAUGGGUAAAGAAGCAACGGCUAACUACGUG
RNAcentral lists this ribosomal RNA (468 nucleotides) under uncultured bacterium. Its description in RNAcentral is "partial 16S ribosomal RNA". It matches the Rfam family "Bacterial small subunit ribosomal RNA", at positions 28 to 507 of the family's 1533-position model. The record is from RNAcentral.